This 86-nucleotide transfer RNA is filed under the name Planctomycetota bacterium. RNAcentral's name for it is "tRNA-Tyr". The record is from RNAcentral. Lineage: Bacteria; Pseudomonadati; Planctomycetota.
GGGAGUUGUUUCGUCGGCCGGGCCGGCACCCGACUAUAAAUCGGGACCUCAUCGAGGCUGUGGUUCGACUCCACCGGCUCCCACCA